This is a long non-coding RNA of Nicotiana tabacum (common tobacco), 888 nucleotides long. RefSeq lists it as uncharacterized. NCBI's taxonomy places the organism in Eukaryota, Viridiplantae, Streptophyta, Magnoliopsida, Solanales, Solanaceae. The record is from RefSeq and is a predicted model, not a curated record.
AGAAGCCAGAGAUGACGCCCUACACACUAUUCAUCGUCUCAUUCAUUGAUCCUUAACCCUCAACUCGCCAUAACUCACCCGAGUUCACUCAAAACGGUCCCCCUCUCCACGUCACCUCUAUUUCCCAACGGAUUUGUCAUAGGGGAGUACGAAUAUUCCCUCAAAAUCGCGGAUUUUUGUACAAAAAGGAUAAUUGUUGGAUGAAUGGGAGCUGUGGAUAGAUGUGAAUCAAUCCACGCCCUCCAUUUGUCCCAAAAUUGUUCAAAAACAUGAAGGAUUUUCAGAUUUUUGGGCAGAUUAUUUGGAGAGUUUGAAGACUAUAUAUACGAGAAACAUAAAAAAAAGAGACAUCAUGGUUUGAGUUCAUUUUUUUACUCUAUUUUUUAGAGAAAAAAUCAAAAAGGAGUUACUGAAAACAAAUUUUCUUUAGCGUUUGUUCUUUGGGUUGGAGUUUUGUUUCUCAAGGGAGCUUGAUUUAACGGUUCAAGUUGAAGUCGAGUUUUCUUUUGGAGUUCAAAAUUUCAGUCUUGGUUCGGGUUCAAGCUGGUUGAUUCCUGUGUUCUUGUUGCGCUGCUGUUAUUGCUGAUUUUUUCUGCUUGCGCCGAGCUUUGCUGAGUUUUCUAGCUUCUUUUUAUUUCUUGCUUGUAGAGGUACGAAUUCCUACUAUUGAGAACUUUCAAAUGUUUGUAGUCGUUGAAAUUUGUGAGAUAUAAUUAUUGAGCCUCAUGUGUGUUUUCUCUCAUUGUUUUAUUGUUAAUGUCCAAGUUGUAAGUAAAAUGAGUUUAAUGACCAAUUCUGUUAGUUCUUCAGCAGAUUUUUGUUUGGACACAUUUGUAUCAGUUGUGCUAUGUGCUCUGAAAUGGUCUAUAAGGGCGUAUUCCUAGAUCU